This 913-nucleotide ribosomal RNA is filed under the name Salmonella enterica subsp. enterica serovar Indiana. RNAcentral describes it as "partial 23S ribosomal RNA". It matches the Rfam family "Bacterial large subunit ribosomal RNA", at positions 673 to 1503 of the family's 2925-position model. Lineage: Bacteria; Pseudomonadati; Pseudomonadota; Gammaproteobacteria; Enterobacterales; Enterobacteriaceae. The record is from RNAcentral.
GAAACCGAGUCUUAAUUGGGCGUUAAGUUGCAGGGUAUAGACCCGAAACCCGGUGAUCUAGCCAUGGGCAGGUUGAAGGUUGGGUAACACUAACUGGAGGACCGAACCGACUAAUGUUGAAAAAUUAGCGGAUGACCUGUGGCUGGGGGUGAAAGGCCAAUCAAACCGGGAGAUAGCUGGUUCUCCCCGAAAGCUAUUUAGGUAGCGCCUCGUGAAUUCAUCUCCGGGGGUAGAGCACUGUUUCGGCUAGGGGGCCAUCCCGGCUUACCAACCCGAUGCAAACUGCGAAUACCGGAGAAUGUUAUCACGGGAGACACACGGCGGGUGCUAACGUCCGUCGUGAAGAGGGAAACAACCCAGACCGCCAGCUAAGGUCCCAAAGUCAUGGUUAAGUGGGAAACGAUGUGGGAAGGCCCAGACAGCCAGGAUGUUGGCUUAGAAGCAGCCAUCAUUUAAAGAAAGCGUAAUAGCUCACUGGUCGAGUCGGCCUGCGCGGAAGAUGUAACGGGGCUAAACCAUGCACCGAAGCUGCGGCAGCGAACGUAUCACCCAAGACAACUUUGCGGAGUUGACGAUUGACGGAGCGAAGCGACGUCAAAGCGUUCAUUAAAGUCGAGUUGGCUUAGGGAUACGUUCGUUGGGUAGGGGAGCGUUCUGUAAGCCUGUGAAGGUGUGCUGUGAGGCAUGCUGGAGGUAUCAGAAGUGCGAAUGCUGACAUAAGUAACGAUAAAGCGGGUGAAAAGCCCGCUCGCCGGAAGACCAAGGGUUCCUGUCCAACGUUAAUCGGGGCAGGGUGAGUCGACCCCUAAGGCGAGGCCGAAAGGCGUAGUCGAUGGGAAACGGGUUAAUAUUCCCGUACUUGGUGUUACUGCGAAGGGGGGACGGAGAAGGCUAUGUUGGCCGGGCGACGGUU